Bombyx mori (domestic silkworm) is the source of this 414-nucleotide long non-coding RNA. RefSeq lists it as uncharacterized. The record is from RefSeq and is a predicted model, not a curated record. Lineage: Eukaryota; Metazoa; Arthropoda; Insecta; Lepidoptera; Bombycidae. The transcript has 2 exons.
GGGUGGUGGUACCUACCCGUGCGGACUCACAAGAGAUCCUGCCACCAGUAAAAAUGCUACUUGCCUCGAACCAUCGCUUUCCACGGGACUACUCCUCAAAUGUCGUGACAUUUUCAAAUCGGUUGGCUAUCCCUAUAGGACUGGCAGCGGAAUGGCUUUACUACGAGCCGGACCGAGAGCUUGUCUGUAUGCUUAAAACAAAUUACAACCUUAAAUAACAAAAAACAAGAAGCUGGCCUUGAUUGGCUCGUCCGUUUGGUACUCGUGCCGCGGAGAGCCGUGGUUGGCUGGUCUCCGAGGAGGCGUCUGCGCACGCUCGCCAUUGGCUUUUAUACCUUUAUUGAUCUUAUUACACUCAAAUAUGGCAUUGUCUUUUCUGUCACGCAAAAUAAAGUCUUAUAUUGUUUGUUUAAA